CAACAGGGAUUGCCCUAGUAACGGCGAGUGAAGCGGCAACAGCUCAAAUUUGAAAUCUGGCUCUCGGGCCCGAGUUGUAAUUUGUAGAGGAUACUUUUGAUGCGGUGCCUUCCGAGUUCCCUGGAACGGGACGCCAUAGAGGGUGAGAGCCCCGUCUGGUUGGAUGCCAAAUCUCUGUAAAGUUCCUUCAACGAGUCGAGUAGUUUGGGAAUGCUGCUCUAAAUGGGAGGUAUAUGUCUUCUAAAGCUAAAUACCGGCCAGAGACCGAUAGCGCACAAGUAGAGUGAUCGAAAGAUGAAAAGCACUUUGAAAAGAGAGUUAAAAAGUACGUGAAAUUGUUGAAAGGGAAGCGUUUAUGACCAGACUUGGGCUUGGUUAAUCAUCUGGGGUUCUCCCCAGUGCACUUUUCCAGUUCAGGCCAGCAUCAGUUUUCCCCGGGGGAUAAAGACUUCGGGAAUGUGGCACUCUUCGGGGUGUGUUAUAGCCCGUUGUGUAAUACCCUGGCGGGGACUGAGGUUCGCGCAUCUGCAAGGAU
This 535-nucleotide ribosomal RNA is filed under the name Fusarium sp. NRRL 25184. Its description in RNAcentral is "eukaryotic LSU rRNA". It matches the Rfam family "Eukaryotic large subunit ribosomal RNA", at positions 66 to 624 of the family's 3401-position model. Lineage: Eukaryota; Fungi; Ascomycota; Sordariomycetes; Hypocreales; Nectriaceae. The record is from RNAcentral.